AAUGGAGAGUUGCGCAAAGUGAUUUGGGAUACCUCAGGAAUAAGGGGACAAGAUGGAUAUUUAAAUGACACGCCAUACCCUUUCCGUAGGUGCGUGGGACUAAAUCUCCCUGCACCAGCAUGGAUUAGAAUUAAUGGGGCCCAAAGAGAAAAUAAGAAUAUAAAGACUACAAUGAUCAUGUCCAAAGGUUUAUUGAUCCAAAACGAAAACAGAGAGUACAGAUCUGCCUGUUUGGAAUUAGAUGUUGACGGUAAUCCCUUUAUAUCAGAAGACAAACCCCUGCAUUGGCACCCAGGGGUUCUACCGCGUGACGUGAUGAUACCAAAUGGGGCCACAAUGGCAGAGGCUUUUGAAACUGAUACAACUGGCUUUUUGCCCUUGUAUGAGUUGCAUCCUCGAAUGGGAAUAGAGUUGUGGGAAGUGUUAAUCAACCCACAGGAUGGGGGGUGCCCAUUUUGGCUUUUCGGGCAGAGGUUAUUUUUAAUGACACCAGAACCUUCAGUGAGAUGGAACGAUAGGGAAAUGGCCGCUAGGCACCCCGAUUACAAAAAGCAAUCGGAAAGGAUAAGCUGGGGUUUACGAGGCAGCACACGCUGGUGCCACACGGGGAGGAGGUGGUCUGCUUCUAUGACAUGUGACAGGGUCAGAAUGGAAAGCGGCCCCCUGAACUCGCGGGAUCUUAGAUCCACUGAUUGCGGGGGUCCUGAUUUAACGUACUGGGGGGAUGCUUGGGUGCCCCGCAAUAAAAAAGUCUAUGAGACACCCUUGACCCUGGGGAAUUACCCCUAUCCGGACAGGGAUACUCCUUAUUUCUUCAGUGAAAUUACUGAGGGAAGGAUGAGUUACCUGAACCCCCAUCUUUACCUAAUGACGAGAGCAGAAGCAAGGAAAGUUAAUUUUACUGCACUCAGACAGGUGAGGGAGUUAGGCGAUGGAAUGGAGACAAUUAACAUCGGGAGUGACUACAUCUCGUUUUACCAGAAACGUUACCAAAAACAAAACAGAAAAAACAACAUCCUUGAAAAAAACAGAUGUGGGGAUAUGUCCAAAAUUCCUGCCGUGGCUCGGUUCCUGGCAUUAGGGUGGAGCAUGAGUGAUGAUAAAGACAUAGAAGAGAAACUUAGCAUUGAGGACGGGGAGGGAAGUGAUUCUUCUUCAGGAGAUGAAAAGGCUGGAGUUGGUUCCCCCGCUAAAAGACGAGGAGAGGAUGGAGAUGAUAUGGGUCCGGAGUGGAAAAAGGAGAGAAUGGCUCUGACUGAGGCCCUGUCUGUGUCACCUCCUCGUGCUGUCUCACAGUCUCCUGCGUGUAUGGAGAUGGAAUGGGAGAGAGAUGAC
This 1335-nucleotide long non-coding RNA is filed under the name Gouania willdenowi (blunt-snouted clingfish). Its description in RNAcentral is "lncRNA (ENSGWIG00000005418.1)". Lineage: Eukaryota; Metazoa; Chordata; Actinopteri; Blenniiformes; Gobiesocidae. The record is from RNAcentral.